AACGAACGCUGGCGGCAGGCUUAACACAUGCAAGUCGAACGGGCGCAGCAAUGCGUCAGUGGCAGACGGGUGAGUAACACGUGGGAACCUUCCUUAAGGUACGGGACAACUCAGGGAAACUUGAGCUAAUACCGUAUACGUCCGUGAGGAGAAAGAUUUAUCGCCUUUAGACGGGCCCGCGUCGGAUUAGCUAGUUGGUGGGGUAACGGCCUACCAAGGCGACGAUCCGUAGCUGAUCUGAGAGGAUGAUCAGCCACACUGGGACUGAGACACGGCCCAGACUCCUACGGGAGGCAGCAGUGGGGAAUCUUGGACAAUGGGCGCAAGCCUGAUCCAGCCAUGCCGCGUGAGUGAAGAAGGCCUUAGGGUUGUAAAGCUCUUUUACCAGGGACGAUAAUGACGGUACCUGGAGAAUAAGCCCCGGCAAACUUCGUGCCAGCCGCCGCAGUAAU
RNAcentral lists this ribosomal RNA (452 nucleotides) under uncultured bacterium. RNAcentral's name for it is "bacterial SSU rRNA". It matches the Rfam family "Bacterial small subunit ribosomal RNA", at positions 29 to 524 of the family's 1533-position model. The record is from RNAcentral.